RNAcentral lists this ribosomal RNA (253 nucleotides) under uncultured bacterium. RNAcentral describes it as "partial 16S ribosomal RNA". It matches the Rfam family "Bacterial small subunit ribosomal RNA", at positions 524 to 776 of the family's 1533-position model. The record is from RNAcentral.
UACGGGGGGGGCAAGCGUUGUUCGGAAUUACUGGGCGUAAAGGGCUCGUAGGCGGCCAACUAAGUCAUACGUGAAAUCCCUCAGCUUAACUGGGGAACUGCGUGUGAUACUGGAUGGCUUGAGAUUGGGAGAGGGAUGCGGAAUUCCAGGUGUAGCGGUGAAAUGCGUAGAUAUCUGGAGGAACACCGGUGGCGAAGGCGGCAUCCUGGACCAACACUGACGCUGAGGAGCGAAAGCCAGGGGAGCAAACGGG